UGCGUAGGCGGUUUGGCAAGUCUGGCGUGAAAUCUGCACCGCUUAACGGGCAGCUGUCGCUGGAAACUGCCAGGCUAGAGGACGGAAGAGGAGAGUGGAAUUCCAGGUGUAGCGGUGGAAUGCGCAGAUAUCUGGAAGAACACCAGUGGCGAAGGCGGCUCUCUGGUCCGUUUCUGACGCUGAGGCACGAAAGCCAGGGGAGCGAACAGGAUUAGAUACCCUGGUAGUCC
RNAcentral lists this ribosomal RNA (230 nucleotides) under uncultured bacterium. Its description in RNAcentral is "partial 16S ribosomal RNA". It matches the Rfam family "Bacterial small subunit ribosomal RNA", at positions 568 to 796 of the family's 1533-position model. The record is from RNAcentral.